This 73-nucleotide transfer RNA is filed under the name Ovis aries (sheep). It matches the Rfam family "tRNA". Rfam says of the family: Transfer RNA (tRNA) molecules are approximately 80 nucleotides in length. Their secondary structure includes four short double-helical elements and three loops (D, anti-codon, and T loops). Lineage: Eukaryota; Metazoa; Chordata; Mammalia; Artiodactyla; Bovidae. The record is from Rfam by way of RNAcentral.
UCCCUGAUGGUCCAGUGGUUAAGAUUCUGCACUUCCAAUGCAGGGGCCAUGGGUUUGGUCCCUAGUUGGGGAA